AUUGAACGCUGGCGGAAUGCUUUACACAUGCAAGUCGAGCGGCAGCGCGGGGCAACCUGGCGGCGAGCGGCGAACGGGUGAGUAAUGCAUCGGAACGUACCCAGUCGUGGGGAAUAACACAGCGAAAGUUGUGCUAAUACCGCAUACGUCCUGAGGGAGAAAGCGGGGGAUCGCAAGACCUCGCGCGAUUGGAGCGGCCGAUGUCGGAUUAGCUAGUUGGUGGGGUAAAGGCCCACCAAGGCGACGGUCCGUAGCUGGUCUGAGAGGGCGACCAGCCACACGGGAACUGAGACAGGGUCCAGACUCCUACGGGAGGCCGCAGUGGGGAAUUUUGGACAAUGGGGGCAACCCUGAUCCAGCCAUUCCGCGUGAGUGAAGAAGGCCUUCGGGUUGUAAAGCUCUUUCGGCAGGAACGAAACGGUGGGGGCUAAUAUCCCUUGCUAAUGACGGUACCUGAAGAAGAAGCACCGGCUAACUACGUGCCAGCCGCCGCCGUAA
RNAcentral lists this ribosomal RNA (498 nucleotides) under uncultured bacterium. RNAcentral describes it as "partial 16S ribosomal RNA". It matches the Rfam family "Bacterial small subunit ribosomal RNA", at positions 29 to 523 of the family's 1533-position model. The record is from RNAcentral.